Molecule: non-coding RNA, 300 nt
Filed under: Ovis aries (sheep)
Lineage: Eukaryota; Metazoa; Chordata; Mammalia; Artiodactyla; Bovidae
Source: RNAcentral
AAUUCCAGCGAGAGGAGGAGGGAGCGAGCGGGCGGCCCUCCAGGGUGGAAGAGCGAGCAGCCUAGCGACGGAGUCGCGCCUCCGGGCGCCGGGAAGGGAGAUCCGGAGUCAAGGGGGCUUCUGCGCCUCCAGCCAGGGCCGGCCCCACCCACCUCCCGCGGACCCCUGCUAGCGGUCCGCCACCCGCGCCGCAUCCGCGAAACUUUGCCCACUGGAACUUACAACACCCGAGCGACACCAAGACUCCCCGGACGCAGAGAAGCUCUUCUGCCUUUUUGGGGAGACACUUUCCCUCGCCGC